Long non-coding RNA from Nelumbo nucifera (sacred lotus), 774 nucleotides. RefSeq lists it as uncharacterized. NCBI's taxonomy places the organism in Eukaryota, Viridiplantae, Streptophyta, Magnoliopsida, Proteales, Nelumbonaceae. The record is from RefSeq and is a predicted model, not a curated record.
CUCUCUCUCUCUCUCUCUCUCUCUCUCUCUCUCAGACACCAUGAAUGAUGCCAAGACUCACUCCAUCUCCAACUUCAACAUGAUUUCUUCCUUAUACUAACUCUCUCCUACUCUCACAACAAAGUCAUGUCUCUAAUGCCCUUGUUGUUUCGGUCACUGGUGAGGCUGGUUUCAUCGCUGGUGGGUCGGCCAGCGACGUCCGUCACCACCAUACUGUACUACAGCGACCUCCUCCCCCGCAACACCAACCUGGAGCGAUUGGUCCGACCAGAUAUGCUUGAUCGAGAGAACUAUCUCCUUCAUUUCCUCAUCAACCUCUUGAGAUGUUUCUGAGUGAGUGGGGUGGGCCCGGCUCUUUUUCAUGCAAACGUAGCGGUUGAUUUUUUGGCAGUGGAUGGUGCAGCCAAACAGUGGUCUCCAGUGCAACUGGACGACUAGUAUUGUUGGACUAUCAAUUACCAUGAACUUCUCAAAAGGGAACUGAUUUUUUUUUUUUUUUUAAAUAGAAGGGAACUGAUUCAGUGUACUGUUAUAAGAGUCAAAUAGAUUUUUUGGUUAGAGCAAACCAUUUGGGAGUGGUUCCAAAUUCCAAUCUGUUGAGUUGAGGCAAAUGGCCAAUGUUGGGCUGUAAUGCAGCUAGAGUGUAUACUAAUAAAGAGUUAGGCCUUUAAUAGGCCCAUGGGUUUAAAAGAAUGAGCUUGUAAGUGUAUCGUUCUCUUUGAUGGGCUAUUGCUGUAUGUAUUUUAAUAAUUGAAUGGAGCCUUCAAACUAAUA